Molecule: transfer RNA, 74 nt
Filed under: Eubacterium brachy ATCC 33089
Lineage: Bacteria; Bacillati; Bacillota; Clostridia; Peptostreptococcales; Anaerovoracaceae
Rfam family: tRNA
About the family: Transfer RNA (tRNA) molecules are approximately 80 nucleotides in length. Their secondary structure includes four short double-helical elements and three loops (D, anti-codon, and T loops).
Source: Rfam by way of RNAcentral
GCGUCAUUAGCUCAGCUGGAUAGAGUAGUGCACUACGAAUGCAAAGGUCUGGGGUUCGAAUCCCUAAUGACGCA